This 360-nucleotide RNase P RNA is filed under the name Salmonella enterica. Its description in RNAcentral is "partial RNase P RNA component class A". It matches the Rfam family "Bacterial RNase P class A". Rfam says of the family: Ribonuclease P (RNase P) is a ubiquitous endoribonuclease, found in archaea, bacteria and eukarya as well as chloroplasts and mitochondria. Its best characterised activity is the generation of mature 5'-ends of tRNAs by cleaving the 5'-leader elements of precursor-tRNAs. Cellular RNase Ps are ribonucleoproteins. The record is from RNAcentral. Lineage: Bacteria; Pseudomonadati; Pseudomonadota; Gammaproteobacteria; Enterobacterales; Enterobacteriaceae. RNAcentral also lists the same sequence under 1 other name.
GAAGCUGACCAGACAGUCGCCGCUUCGUCGUCGUCCUUUCGGGGAGACGGGCGGAGGGGAGGAAAGUCCGGGCUCCAUAGGGCAGGGUGCCAGGUAACGCCUGGGGGGGAAACCCACGACCAGUGCAACAGAGAGCAGACCGCCGAUGGCCCACGUAAGUGGGAUCAGGUAAGGGUGAAAGGGUGCGGUAAGAGCGCACCGCGCGGCUGGUAACAGUCCGUGGCACGGUAAACUCCACCCGGAGCAAGGCCAAAUAGGGGUUCAUAAGGUACGGCCCGUACUGAACCCGGGUAGGCUGCUUGAGCCAGUGAGCGAUUGCUGGCCUAGAUGAAUGACUGUCCACGACAGAACCCGGCUUAU